RNAcentral lists this ribosomal RNA (1464 nucleotides) under Triticum aestivum (bread wheat). RNAcentral describes it as "partial small subunit ribosomal RNA". The record is from RNAcentral. Lineage: Eukaryota; Viridiplantae; Streptophyta; Magnoliopsida; Poales; Poaceae.
AUGGAUUAUUUGCUCAAAGUCGUAGCACUGGUUGUCACGGCCUCGGCCAUAGCCAUCCACCUCUUGAGCCGAGCCAGGAAAUGUUGGGGUCCGGCCAACCUGCCCCCUGGCUCCCUAGGACUUCCGGUGAUUGGCCAGACCUUCAGCGUCUUCCGAGCCGCGCGCACCAACAGCGGCAACGAGUGGAUACAUGACCGGAUCAAGAGGUACGGGCCGGUUUCCAAGGCAUCGGUGUUGUGCAGGCCGACGGUUUUCCUGACGGGCCCGGCGGCCAACAAGUUCAUGUUCUUUACCAGCGGGCUGCGGAUGGGGACGCCCCGGUCCUUCCAACGUAUCUUCGGGGAGAAGAGUAUCGUGGACAUGCACGGCCAAGAUCACCGGCGCAUCCGUGGGGCGCUAAUGGAGUUCCUCAAGCCGGACAUGCUCAGGCGAUACACUGGGAGGAUUGACGCCAAGGUGAGGCGCCACCUAGAGGAGCACUGGCAAGGCCACACCACCAUCACGGUGCUGCCACUCAUGAGGGGGUUAACGUUCGACAUCACCUCCUCGCUACUCUUCGGCCUUGAGACGGGUGCCACGCGGGACGCGUUCACCCGUGACUUUGGGCGCAUGGUCGAGGGUGUUUUUGCCAUCCCGAUCAACCUUCCCUUCACAACGUUCAGCCGGAGCCUCAAGGCCGGCCGAAGGGCACGACGGCUGCUCGAGGUGAUUACAAGUGACAAGAAGGCUAAGCUAGGGCAGGGCAAGGCGUCGCCGAAUAGCGACCUCAUCAACCGCCUGCUCAGCAUGACAGACGACCAUGGCGAGCAGCUGCUAACCAAUGAGGAGAUUCUCGACAACGUCAUGUUCGCCCUGGUUGCCAGCCAUGAAACCACCUCCAUUCUCAUGACGUGCAUGGUCAGCCACCUCGCCAAUGAUCCGGCUACCCUCGCCGCCAUGGUGCAAGAGCAUGAAGAAAUUGCAAGGAACAAGGUUGAAGGAGAGGCUCUCACCUGGGAAGACCUCUCAAAGAUGAAGUUCACAUGGCAAGUUGCACAGGAGACACUUCGCAUCAACCCCCCUGUCUUCGGCACCUCUAGUACAGCACUCGAGGACAUCGAGUUCGAUGGCUACCACAUACCAAAAGGCUGGCAGGUGAUUUGGACGGCAAUCGCGACGCACAUGGACCCGAGCAUCUUCCACGAGCCAGCGAAGUUCGACCCAUCCAGGUUCCAGAGCCAGUCAUCCGUGACGCCACCAUGCUCCUUCGUCCCGUUCGGUGGCGGCCCCAGAAUAUGCCCUGGGAUGGAGUUUGCCAAGAUGGAAACAUUGGUGAUGAUGCACCACCUGGUGGGACACUUCAGAUGGAAGCUUUGCUGCAAGGGGAAGACUUUCAUGAGGGUCUCCUUCCCGUCACCACUGGAAGGCCUGCCGAUAGAACUCGAGCACAUCAAUCCGGGUGACCGUCCAGGGUUUACUAAAUAA